CCCUUAGAUGUUCUGGGCCGCACGCGCGCUACACUGACGAAUGCAACGAGCUUAUAACCUUGGCCGAAAGGUCUGGGUAAUCUCCAAAUUUCGUCGUGAUGGGGAUAGAUUAUUGCAAUUAUUAAUCUUCAACGAGGAAUCCCUAGUAAGUGCAGGUCAUCAGCUUGCGCUGAUUACGUCCCUGCCCUUUGUACACACCGCCCGUCGCUGCCCGGAACUGAGCCAUUUCGAGAAAAAUGGGGACAGACUGCUUGUGGGUGCGCAAGCACUUCUUGCAGAUUGAAACCAUCUUGAUCGGUAUGGCUUGAACCGGGCAAAAGUCGUAACA
RNAcentral lists this ribosomal RNA (328 nucleotides) under uncultured eukaryote. Its description in RNAcentral is "partial 18S ribosomal RNA". It matches the Rfam family "Eukaryotic small subunit ribosomal RNA", at positions 1470 to 1796 of the family's 1831-position model. The record is from RNAcentral.